RNAcentral lists this ribosomal RNA (308 nucleotides) under uncultured bacterium. RNAcentral's name for it is "bacterial SSU rRNA". It matches the Rfam family "Bacterial small subunit ribosomal RNA", at positions 20 to 358 of the family's 1533-position model. The record is from RNAcentral.
UGGCUCAGAACGAACGCUGGCUCCAGGCCUAACACAUGCAAGUCGAGCGCCCCGCAAGGGGAGCGGCACACGGGAGAGUCCCACGUGGGAACGUACCCUUUGGUCCGGAACAACCCAUGGAAACUUGGGCUAAUACCCGAUAAGCCCUUACGGGGAAAGAUUUAUCGCCCAAGGAUCUGCCCGCGUCUGAUUAGCUAGUUGGUGGGGUAACAGCCCACCAAGGCGACAAUCUGUAGCUGGUCUGAGAGGAUGAUCACCCACACUGGGACUGAGACACGGCCCACACUCCUACGGGAGGCAGCACUGGG